RNAcentral lists this ribosomal RNA (411 nucleotides) under uncultured bacterium. Its description in RNAcentral is "bacterial SSU rRNA". It matches the Rfam family "Bacterial small subunit ribosomal RNA", at positions 9 to 420 of the family's 1533-position model. The record is from RNAcentral.
GAGUUUGAUCCUGGCUCAGGACGAACGCUGGCGGCGUGCUUAACACAUGCAAGUCGAACGAUGAAGGGGAGCUUGCUCCUUGGAUUAGUGGCGAACGGGUGAGUAACACGUGAGUAACCUGCCCUUGACUCUGGGAUAAGCGUUGGAAACGACGUCUAAUACCGGAUAUGACCUGUGACGGCAUCGUCUGCAGGUGGAAAGAAUUUUGGUCAAGGAUGGACUCGCGGCCUAUCAGGUAGUUGGUGAGGUAACGGCUCACCAAGCCGACGACGGGUAGCCGGCCUGAGAGGGUGACCGGCCACACUGGGACUGAGACACGGCCCAGACUCCUACGGGAGGCAGCAGUGGGGAAUAUUGCACAAUGGGCGAAAGCCUGAUGCAGCAACGCCGCGUGAGGGACGACGGCCUCGG